GGACCAAGGAGUCUAGCAUGUACGCGAGUCACUGGGCCACAAAUAACCCCAAAGGCGAAAUGAAAGUAAAAGUUGAUAAUUUUUACAUUAACUAAGGGAAGAUGGGCAAACUUAAAUGGAAGCCUCGCACUCCCGGACCGUCCCAUACUCAUUGCGAGUUGGGGCGGAUCUAGAGCGUACACGCUGGGACCC
RNAcentral lists this ribosomal RNA (192 nucleotides) under Nebria jockischii. RNAcentral describes it as "partial 28S ribosomal RNA". It matches the Rfam family "Eukaryotic large subunit ribosomal RNA", at positions 663 to 817 of the family's 3401-position model. The record is from RNAcentral. Lineage: Eukaryota; Metazoa; Arthropoda; Insecta; Coleoptera; Carabidae.